GUGGCAGGUAGCCUAGUAGUUAGAGCGUUGGACUAGAAACUGAAAGGUGUCCCCGAGCUGACGAGCUGACAAGUUAUCUUUAGGUCCCGUAUAUCAGAUGGACAUCCACGCGUCUCGUGGCGCACACAGGCCUCCCAGUCCACCCGCACUUAUAGAUCAGGAAGAGCUUGUAGCUAAGGGAAACGGGAUGCUUCCGGCUCGGAGGGGGGAAACCCACCGCUGGACUGGUCUGCUGCCUCGUCACAAGGGACCCGGCUCAGAGGGGAAACCCAACGCUGGACCGGCCGCGUCUGCUGCCUCGUCACAAGGGACCCUCUGCACUCUUUCAUGCCGCUCGUGAUUCUUUGCUUUCUUUCUCCCUCUAUCCACACAGUGAUCGGUAUCGGCCCCUCUUUCAGGGCUGGGCCCUCUGGGGGUGGGGGGUGGUGGUGGGUUGGGCUUCAGCUUUACUAAAGACUCUGUGUUUCCUUCUGCCGUCAGAUGAACAGGGGAACUGUUAGUUUUGAAUCUGUGUGAAUGUUACCCAUGACUCUUCAAAAAUGAUAUAGGUGAUACUGUUGGAUGAAAUGAUUUGUACGUUCUGUCGUGAUCUAACCGUCCUCUAUUACAUCACGGAAACACAUUUCUUUCAAUAAAGACUCAAUGAAUCUA
Molecule: long non-coding RNA, 651 nt
Organism: Oncorhynchus tshawytscha (Chinook salmon)
Lineage: Eukaryota; Metazoa; Chordata; Actinopteri; Salmoniformes; Salmonidae
Exons: 3
Source: RefSeq, a predicted model, not a curated record